Molecule: long non-coding RNA, 6588 nt
Organism: Anolis carolinensis (green anole)
Lineage: Eukaryota; Metazoa; Chordata; Lepidosauria; Squamata; Anolidae
Exons: 2
Source: RefSeq, a predicted model, not a curated record
CUUGCGCUGCAUGGCACUCAUGGUCUUCUCCGGCACGCGGUUCUCCAGCCAGGGGAUGGUGCGGCGGAUCCAUUCGAGGAGCUUUCAGAGUGGGGCGAAACACAUGGUGUGCUUAAUAUCCCGCCCAAGGAGAGCUCAGAUCCUGAUGUAUGCAGACGAUCUAGUGCUCAUCUCCCUCUCUCAGUUGGGACUUGAAAAUUUCCGGAAGACUUUCAGUACCUUCUGCCAAGAGGAGUAUCUGCCACUAUAUCUAUUCAGGGCACGUGAUGAUCUACAAUCCUAAAGCCAACUCAAAGCCAAAGGUUUGUCAACUGAAAAAGUGCAGAUCUGAAUGUUCACUGCAAUGUGAACAAGAAAACAAACAGGACAAGAGCCGCAGAAGCAUCAAAAAUAGAGCCCAUAUUUGGAGGUGGUUGGGUCCAGUUUUACUCAAUGUAUUCGAACACACAAUUCAGGCAUUAGUUUUUCUUUAACUUUCCAAACUUUGGGGCGAAUCCCUUAUUGGUGCCAUUGUACAAAAGACAAAUAGUAUAAUGGAAAGAUAAGACAUAGAACUAUGUCCUAGGACAGGAAAAUGUUGCCACCACCAUCCCCUCCGUCUCCAUACCAAGGUGGUACCUAUUGAUCUACUCACAUUUGCAUGUUUUCAAAUUGGUAGGUUGGCAGAAGCUGGGGCUAACAGCGGGAGCUCACCCCAUCCUGCACAUUCGAACUGCCAACUUUCCGGUCAACAAGUUCAACAGCUCAGCGGUUUAACCCACUGUGUCACCAUGGCCCCCUGAGGCCAUAGAAACCCAAUGAGUAUAUUUGCUCAGGCUUAAAAGAAGGCAAAAGCGAACUCCUUCUGAACAAAUAUUGCAGAAAACAAGCAAACAAAUUUUAAGUGUCACCAUACAUCAGGGCUGGAUUGAAGGCAGACAGCAACAACAAGUCUAAAUCAAUGCGCAUUUGUGCACCCUAAUUUUGGCAAGGCAAUCCAGACAAAAUAGAUGAACGCCGGAUUCGAAUAAAUACAGCAGGGGUCCCCAAACUAAGGCCCGGGAGCCACAUGUGGCCCAUCGAAGCCAUUUAUCUGACCCCUACAGCAGAAAGGCAGAAGGGGAUUGGGCUAAAUGACCAAAGGGUUCUCCUAUUAUUAUUAUUAUUAUUAUUAUUAUUAUUAUUAUUAUUAUUAUUAACAUUGAGGCUGGGAGGCCAUCUGUCAGGGGUGCUUUGCUUGUGCUUUUGAUGCACAAAGGCAGAAGAGGGUUGGACUAAAUGGCCCAAGGGGUCUCCUCCAUCCCUCUUUAUUACUGUUGUUGUUGUGGUUAUUAUUAUUACUGACAACAUUGAGGCUGGGAAGCCAUCUGUUAGGGGUGCUUUGCUUGUGCUUUUGGUGCACAAAGGCAGAAGGGGGUUGGACUGAAUGGCCCAAAGGGUCUCUUCCAACCCUCUUUAUUAUUAUUAUUAUUAUUAUUAUUAUUAUUAUUAUUAUUAUUAUUAUUAUUAUUAUUAUUAUUUUAUUGUAUGACACAGCAAACAAGUUAGACAUGCUGGAUUUCAUAUCACAAAAUCACAAGUCGAACACUUCCCAAGUGUCUAGGACUGUGUGAUGUAUUUUCGGAUGAUGCGUGCAGAUCCCAGCAGGGUGGCCUUUUGCAGUUGGCAGAUUGUGAUUUUGUCAAUGUCUAUUGUUUCCAAAUGCCGGCUGAGAUCUUUUGGCACGGCAGCCAGUGUGCCCAUCACCACCGGGACCACCUGCACUGGUUUCUGCCAGAGUCUUUGAAGUUUGAUCUUGAGAUCCUGAUAGCAGCUGAGUUUUUCCUGUUGUUUUUCGUCAAUGCGACUGUCACCUGGGAUGGCGACAUCAAUGUUCCAAACCUUUUUCUUUUCCACAACUGUGAUGUCUGGUGUGUUGUGUUCCAGAACUUUGUCAGUCUGGAUUCGGAAGUCCCACAGUAUCUUUGCAUGGUCAUUUUCCAAUACUUUUGCAGGUUUGUGAUCCCACCAGUUCUUUGCUGCUGGGAGGUGGUCCUUGAGGCAUAAGUUCCAAUGGAUCAUUUGGGCCACAUAGUUGUGCCUCUGUUUGUAGUCUGUCUGUGCGGUUUUCUUACAGCAGCUGAGGAUAUGAUCCAUGGUUUCGUCAGCUUCCUUGCAGAGUCUGCAUUUUGGGUCAUCAGCUGAUUUUUCGAUCUUGGCCUGAAUUGCCUUUGUCCUGAUGGCUUGCUUCUGGGCUGCAAGGAUCAGGCCUUCUGUCUCCUUCUUCAGGGUCCCAUUCGUGAGCCAGAGCCAGGUCUUCUCCUUGUCAGCCUUUCCUUCAAUUUUGUCAAGGAACUUUCCAUGCAAUGUUUUGUUGUGCCAGCUAUCAGCUCUAGUUUGUAGUGUGGCUUUCUUGUACUAGAUUAUUAUUAUUAUUAUUAUUAUUAUUAUUAUUAUUAUUAUUAUUAUUAUUGCUGCUGCUUGGUGGCCAGCUAUAGUCCAGCCCUCCAAUGGUCCAAAGGAUCGUGAACUGGCCCCCUGUUUAAAAAGUUUGGGGACCCCUGAAAUACAGUAUAUGUUUCUUAAAAUUAAAUAACCCAGCCCCUCUUCUCGACCAUAGUGGAUCCCUCCCUGCGGCCAACUGAUAAUAAAUAACCCAGCCAUUGCAAACUUCUUUAAAUAGCUUCCUUCUGGAGGAGGUCCAUCCAUCUUUCAAGGAAAGGAGGGGAAGGGGAGGGGGACCCCCUUGUACCCUAAUUAAGCUCUGCCCUCUUCUAAAAUACGGCCAUGAGCUCAUAGCCCUGGCCGCCGCCUCCUCGCAGGGCAGCACAGGCGAAGGGCAGUUUUUAGACACAGCCUUACAUGGGCAAGGCAUCUGGAAGAACAGCAGCCGCAGCAGCCACCCGAUACCCCACUGGUGCUGCAAAGAAACCACCCCCACAGACCCCUAGCAUCAGCAGGAACCAGUGUCCCCAGCCAUACAUUCGCCCGGGAACAGUCCUAUAUCAGCAAAGUGGGCUGGAAAAGGGCAGCGGGAGGCCAAAAAGCCCCAGGAGGAAGAGGAGGCGCCCAGUGUCUGCAGAGGCUUCCCCUUCUCCAUGCCCUUCUUCAUCAUCCUGGGGCUUCUUGUUUGACACAUUUACUUGGAACUCAAUGAGUGCCUGCCUUUAUUGGUUGGUGAGGACCGUGGUCCAUGUCCUCUUGCAAUGGCAAAGCUUUUUGGAAACAAGGAGGUCCAUGGGUUGUUUGUUGUGUAUUUUCCGGGCUGUACAGCCAUGUUCCAGAAGCAUUCUCUCCUGACGUUUCGCUCACAUCUAUGGCAUGGCCAUACAGCCCGGAAAAAACCCAGGUCACAAAAGCCUUCGACAACACAAAGAGGUCCAUGCUUAUAUCCCUGCAUAGUUCGGGAUCCGUACAGUCUGUUUCCUCCCCAUGCUAUUGUUGCAUGCUUUCAAAGCUGUUUCCGACUCACUUGGAUAAGACUUUAUCGUAAGGAGUUUGUUUUUGCCUUCUUCCGAGGUUCGGAAAGAUCUGAACUUAUGCCUGCAAUCCAAUAGUCAAACCAUUCUGGGCCCUUCUAUAGGUAAAGGUAAAGGUUUCCCCUCUGACUCUGGGGGUUGGUGCUCAUCUCCAUUUCUAAGCCGAAGAGCCGGUGUUGUCCGUAGACACCUCCAAGGUCAUGUGGCCAGCAUGACUGCAUGGAGCGCCGUUACCUUCCCUAUUGAUCUACUCACAUUGGCAUGUUUUCGAACUGCUAGGUUGGCAGGAGCUGGAGCUAACAGCGGCCGCUCACACCGCUCCCAGGGUUUGAACCUGGGACCUUUUGGUCUGCAAGUUCAGCAGCUCAGUGCUUUAACACACACUUUAACACACUUCGCCACCGGCCCUUCUAUAAUGCCAUAUAAAAUCCAGGACGCCCUUGCUCUGUGGUUGGAUUGAAUCUGAUGCACCGUCCCCACCACAUUCAGACGCAAGAGAAGUUAAACCAAGCAUGGGUUCAAAUUUACCAGCGAAACCCAUGACAGAAAGGCCAUAAACUCAAGGUGCUAAGGAGGUCCUUGGAUGCUUGAGUUUGAAUGCCAUUCCAUGUAGGACUACGUGGAGGAGAGAACUUUGUCCUUGAGUGUCCACAUGCAUUUCAUACCAACUGAAACUCACUGUCCCGGACUUCAUAAGACAGGAGGUAGCUGCCUUAUAAUAUCAAAUCGGACUAUUGGUCUGUAUAUCAUAGAAAGCCACAAUCUAAGGCCAAGCAGGCAUUUUUCCAUCCUAUUAAGAAACAUCUCCAUUUUUGGGUUGCUGUGAGUUUUCUGGGCUGUAUGGCUAUGUUCCAGAAGCAUUCUCUCCUGACAUUUUGCCCAGAUCUAUGGCAGGCAUCCUCAGAGGUUAUAAGGUCUGUUGGAAAUUUUAUAUAUCUGGAAUUAUGUCCAGGGUGGGGGAAAGAACUCUAGUCUGUUUAAGGCAAGUGUGAAUGUUGCAAUUGGCCCCCUUGAUUAGCAUUGAAUGUCCUUGCAGUUUCAAAGCCUGGCUGCUGCUUGCAUGGGGGAAUCCUUUGUUGGGAAGUGUUAGCUGGCCCUGAUUGUUUCCUGUUUGGAAAUACCAGAGUGAUUCUUUGUACAAUAAUGUAAUAGUCUGCUGAUGCUGGUGAUCAAGGAAAAAGAAGGAUAUUAGGGGAAUGUUUGGGGGUAGGUCCAUCAUAACCCCUGUGUAAAUAGCAGACCACACCUAUCUUGUCACUCAAUAUUUCAGAAAUAAAAUUAUGGGCGGGGUGGGUGUUAUUUAACAUUUCGAACACCCACUUGUUGUUUGGUGCCUUUAAAUAACUUCUAAUGUAUGCCAAACCUAUCUUGAGGGGUGGGUGGGGUGUUCUUGGCAAAACUAGGUCUCCAAAACCGAAUCCAACACUCAGGCUGGAAAUACACUGACAUAUAAUCUAGAUGAUCAAAUCAGACAUUUCACCAUUAUCUGCUUUCAACUAGAUUAUAUGAGUCUAAAAGUAAAGGUCUUCCCCUGACAUUAAGGCCCGGGCUGUGGCGCAGGCUGGUGAGCAGCCAGCCAGCUGCAGCCAGCUGUAACAAAUUACUCUGACCAAGAGGUCAUGAGUUCGAGGCCAGCUCGGAGCCUAUGUUUGUCUUGUCUUUGUUCUAUGUUAAAGGCAUUGAAUGUUUGCCUUAUAUGUGUAAUGUGAUCCGCCCUGAGUCCUCUUCGGGGUGAGAAAGAAGGGUGGAAUAUAAAUACUGUUAAUUAAUUAAUUAAUUAAUUAAGUCUAGUCGUGUCCCACUCUGGGGGUUGGUGCUCAUCUCCAUUUCUAAGCUGAAGAGUUGUCCGUAGACACCUCUGGAGCAAUACCUAUUAUCUACUCACUUUUGCAUGCUUUCGAACUGCUAGGUUGGCAGAAGCUGGGGCUAACAGCGUGAGCUCACCCCGACAUUUCGGUCAGCAAGUUCAGCGGCUUAGUGAUUCAACCCACAGCGACACAGGGGGCUUUUAUAUGAGUCUACACUGCCAUAUAAUCCAGUUCAAAGCAGAUAAUCUGGAUUUUAUAUGGAGGUAUAGAAGGGGUCUUGAUCAUGCAAUUGAUUAUGCAGAUGUAGCAUAACUACUGUUCAAGGGACCUGUGUUAUGGAAACUACACUGGGGAAAUAGGCAACAGCCAUUGAAACCAUAAGCCGCACUAGGACAUGUUCUCUAAUUCCAUCGCACCAAGAUAUAUUUAGCCGAUUCCUUUCUCUCUCUCGCUCCGUCUCUCCUGGGUCUCCGUCAUUCCAGGCAUUGCUCAGGCAGGGCCCAGGCGGCCCUUGGCGGAUUCCACUCCCAUGACAUAUGCUCUCCUUCACACUGGUGCGAGUCUCCUCUGACGUACUGUACCCAGAAUGUCACUUAUGGUGCCGUACGGGAUGCAGAUCGAGAUGACGGGAAGGGACAGCUGCAGGCAACCCUAUCUCUGGCACGGAGAAUGGCAGCUGGCUCCUCAAACCCGUCCCUUCCCAUCAUUCCUACCAUGCAAUGUGUGUGGACGCAACAGGCCUUUUGUUCCUCUGGACCUAAACACGGUGCAGAAUUCAUUUAGCUUCAAGAUGCAUCCCACACCUUUGGAACAAUGACCUAAUCCCAAUGCCAUAAGUCCCCAUGGGACAGAAGUUUUAUUAUUAUUAUUAUUAUUAUUAUUAUUAUUAUUAUUAUUAUUAUUUUCUUUCCAAAUCUUGCCACCGCCCUAUAGAGCAGGUAUGGGCAAACUUCGCCCCUCCGGGUGUUUUGGUGCGUUGAAGUCCAAAACACCUGGAGGGCCGAAGUUUGCCCAUACCUGCUAUAGAACAUCCAUCAAGGUGAGCCGAAAUGCAUACACACAUGCACACAGAAGCUGAACAGAAGGUGGCGAGAUUAUAUAGAUCUGUAUAGGUAAGAUAAUAAUAUCGAGGAUAGCUUUGAUGGUGUGGUGAGUGAAUUAGAACCAGACAUUCUGAGGAGUGAGGUUGAAUGGGCCUUAAGAAGCAUUGCUAAUAACAAGGCAGCAGGAGACAACGGGAUCCCAGCUGAACUUUUUACAAUCUUGAAAGAUGAUGCUGUCAAGGUGAUGCUGGAAGGUGUUGUGGGUUUUUUUCAUGGCUCUAAAGUGAUUUUUUGAGGGUG